AAGUCGUAACAAGGUCUCCGUAGGUGAACCUGCGGAGGGAUCAUUCACAUGAUAUACUUUAAACAAACUGUGAACUUUAAAUACUAUUCGUGUGUGUUGUUGACUUUAUGUUAAUUUCAUACAUUGUCAUUCGAUUGAACAUAAGAUAGUUGGCUUGAAAUUGUAAUUCAUUACAUUUUCUUUCUCAGCUUUGAUUUGAUAUUACUAAACAUUUUAUCACUUCAACCAUAAAACAUAGAAACAACUCUAUGCCCUGGAUAUCUUGGUUCUC
This 271-nucleotide unclassified non-coding RNA is filed under the name fungal sp. Its description in RNAcentral is "partial internal transcribed spacer region". The stretch from base 1 to 46 matches the Rfam family "Eukaryotic small subunit ribosomal RNA", at positions 1786 to 1831 of the family's 1831-position model. Lineage: Eukaryota; Fungi. The record is from RNAcentral.